Molecule: ribosomal RNA, 240 nt
Filed under: uncultured eukaryote
Lineage: Eukaryota
Description: partial 18S ribosomal RNA
Rfam family: Eukaryotic small subunit ribosomal RNA (bases 1-148)
Source: RNAcentral
UGGUGGAGUGAUUUGUCUGGUUAAUUCCGUUAACGAACGAGACCCCUGCCUGCUAAAUAGUUCGGCGAGUGAAUUUCACUGGCUAGAGCUUCUUAGAGGGACGUGCGUUCUAUUAGACGCAGGAAGAUAGGGGCAAUAACAGGUACGUAUGAAGCUGCUAUCGUUUUUGGCUGUCAGUGGGUGGUUCCCACUCUAUAUAUUAACGGAUUGAACCGUAUCUUACCGUUUUCUUCUAUCUCU